Molecule: ribosomal RNA, 244 nt
Filed under: uncultured bacterium
Lineage: Bacteria
Description: partial 16S ribosomal RNA
Rfam family: Bacterial small subunit ribosomal RNA
Source: RNAcentral
GCAAGCGUUGUUCGGAUUUACUGGGCGUAAAGGGCGCGUAGGCGGUCGUGACAAGUCACUUGUGAAAUCUCCGGGCUUAACUCGGAACGGUCAGGUGAUACUGCCGUUCUUGAGUCACCUAGGGGCAGCUGGAACAGAUGGUGGAGCGGUGAAAUGCAUAGAUAUCAUCUGGAACGCCAAUGGUGCAGACAAGCUGCCGGGGGUGUACUGACGCUGAGGCACGAAAGCCAGGGGAGCAAACGGG